Molecule: long non-coding RNA, 1766 nt
Organism: Megalobrama amblycephala (Wuchang bream)
Lineage: Eukaryota; Metazoa; Chordata; Actinopteri; Cypriniformes; Xenocyprididae
Exons: 2
Source: RefSeq, a predicted model, not a curated record
GUCUGUGCAUGUUUUUUUUUUUUUUACUCUCAUAGAUUUUGUUACCAUUGACAUGCAUUAUACGACUGACAGACUGCAAUGGUUGGAGUUAAAAAUCAUCAUUUGUGUUGUAAGGCCCGCCCAAUUGGCCCAACGGCGGUUUCCCAUAGGACGGGGAAGGUUUCUUGCACGUUCUGUCUUUUCAGUGUGGCAAAUUAAUUUAAUUCCAAGUAAACUUUUAUUUGACUCCAUGUUAUUAUGACCUCGAAUUUAGUUAAGAAUGUCAAUUGAUUAUUGUUUAUUUGUAUAAAAAUUUGGCUCUACAUUUGAAUAUUCUAUUUAACUCUUUACUCUUAUUGUACUCGUUCAUUCGGUUCUCAGAGUCGCAAAGGGUCCUCGCACUGGCCAUUCAUUAAUUAUGCGGGCACACGAUCACAAACUUGCCAGUCUUGGUCACUAGACAGAGGUAAUUGACUAUACUAUUUAGAAGGCCGCUUUCAUGCUUGCUUCAUCUAAAAGUAUUCUGUUUAGUCCCCAUAGAUAUGUAUACACUGAAUUAAAGUAACACUAUCUCUAAUCAGAGGUCAUAACCACUACUACAGAUAAGCCGACCAAUAUUACUUCUCUUAAAGUAGCUUUGGUUUGGUUAUGCCAUGGUUUCCCACGUACACUUAGCUAGAGUAACAUUACAUUAAACAGAGGUAAGGCUCACCCUAUUUAGUUUGGAUUUUGGACUUUAGUCUGAUACUAACCUGACGCAGAUUUGCGGUAACAAUGGAUACAUCAUAAUCUACUUAAGUCAAUAAUUUCAAAGUAAGUCAGAAUAAAAUCAAAUGUGACAAUUUAUCAGUCAGGUAAAUGUAUCAUGCCAAUUACAUAAUCAAUUCAAAGAUAAUCAAUACAAAACAUCAAAUACUCAGAAUUAGAGUAAGAUGCAUACAUGACAUUAGAAAAAUACACAUUGCUGAGUGUCCUGGACACUCAGCAAUGUGGGCUUCAUCUGAAUACAGAGUCGCCCCGAGCCUUUUGCAGCAUUUCUUUAAAUACUCAGACCAAGACAAAACAUCCCCCAAUGUGGGGCAUGAAUUUACAAUUUGCAUCAGAAUUUGCAUUGUCUAGGGUCACAGACCCAGGGAGUUCGCACCUUGCUGUGGAACAGGAGGUGGUUUGGAUGAAGGACCCCGGGAAAGGGGCACACCCACAGUCAACCAAAGUAUCUCUAAACUCUUAAAACCUUUAAUACCUUUGGUUUACUUCCAUGUAGAUGAGACCAUUGUACCAGUUGCACUGAGACACUUCAAACGAUACCAAACAUGUACAGCAUUCUGUGAUGAUUGUUCACAUUAAACCAUAUGGAUUUUGGGUGAAUUUCAGGUUAUCUCUGCAUGUAGAGAGAAGAGAUGGGGGAAGAGGGGGUGAAGGAAGGGAAAUGUAGAUUAAGGCAGGUGUUAGGUGUGAUUGACUCAGUGUGAUCGCGUCUCAGAUGGGGAUGCUAAUUUUGCAAGUGAGAGUUCAAAUGUUAAUUUCCUUUGUUUUCUCAAAGAGUAGCCCAUUCUUGGUCCAGGCACUCCGGCAUCAGUCUUACAGUGUUCUACUGAAGAAACAAAGUCACCUACAUCUUGGAUGCCCUGGGGUGACUAAAGACCAUCCUGUUCAUCCUAUUCUAAUCCUGUCCCUUCUCUUAACAUCUGUCAUGUGGAUUUGCUCCCUGUAUCAUGUGCUUUGGGUCGUUCAAAGUAUUCCAGACUUAAGCAUCCUGAACUCAAUAAAUUAAAGACUGUAAAGGA